AAUAAAACUAUGAAGAGAAGAGUAAUUAAACUCAAUUUUUUUACAGAGAGCUUUAGAUGGUGAGAGAAAGCAAAAAACAGUUUGGUGAAAAAAGCCUCGGAGUUGUACACAGGAUCUUUACUUCACUAAAGUUUAUCUUAAAGUGAGGUUGCUUCUUAAAAAAGAAAGAAGUUUCCUUUAGGAAGAGAGAUGGUGUAACGGGUGCUCCCGUUAUAGAGCUAGGGUAUAAGCUUAAUAUAUUUUAUUGUAAAGCCGUACUUGAAAAGGUUAAUAUGGUGACAUAUUAAUAAACUGGGGUGGUACCACGAAGUUGAACUUACCAAACUCUCGUCCCCAAG
This 338-nucleotide non-coding RNA is filed under the name Clostridium sulfidigenes. RNAcentral's name for it is "T-box sequence". It matches the Rfam family "T-box leader". From Rfam's summary of the family: Uncharged tRNA acts as the effector for transcription antitermination of genes in the T-box leader family. The record is from RNAcentral. Lineage: Bacteria; Bacillati; Bacillota; Clostridia; Eubacteriales; Clostridiaceae.